ACUGCGUUAACCUGCUGCUGACUUCGGGGGUGUCUACUGAUGUUUCUGAUUUAAACGAAUUUACGCCUUUACACUUUGCCGCCGCACACGAACACCACAGGUGUGUGGAGGCCCUGGUGUUUGGUGGGGCUGAUGUGGACCAAAGGGCCAUUGGGGGAAAGACCCCUCUGUUCAUGGCCAGCGGAGCCGACAGGCUGGACUGUACCAGUGCCUUGCUCAACGCCGGGGCCGACCGCUCAAGAGCCACCACCGACAGCUGCACGGCUCUCCACGCGGCGUUCAGCUUGGGACAUGUGGACACUCUGCGGCUCCUCCUCUGCCACCCUGCCCCUGACUGUACCCACAUCAUGACCCUAACCCUGACUGCAACCAUAGUCCUGGUCCUGCCACGAUCCCGGUCCUGUUUAGCACCUUGCUCAACCAGGACAACUGUGAGGGCUGGACCACUGCACACAUCACUGCUGCCAGGGGCUUCAAGGUACUGGGACACAGAUCAUGUACUGUUAUCUCAGACAUAUGGAGGUAUACUGAAUAACGUACAGUACUAUACAUAUAGACUCACAGACACACCAUCAGGAACUUCUCUCUGUAUGGUUAGCAUGCUCUCUGUCCUCAUAGGUAAGGAGCUGUAAUGAUUGUCAUUCAAUUGAUUCACUUCUUAUCCUAUGAUCCUAUUAGAAAUACCUGUCACGCCCUGACCAUAGAGAGCCUUUUUCAUUCGCAAUUUUGGUUAGGUCGGGGUGUGACUAGGGGGGUGUUUCUAUCUAGGUGUUCUAUUUCUAUGUUGGCCUGGUAUGGUUCUCAAUUAGAAGCAGCUGUUUAUCUUUGUUUCUGAUUGGGGAUCAUAUUUAGGUAGCCAUUUCCCCACUGUGUUUUGUGGGAUCUUGUUUUGAGUUAAUGCAUGUAGCACCUCUGAUGUUACGGUUAGUUAUUUGUUUCCUUUUGUUUUGUAAGUUUCACUAAAUACAAUAUGUGGAACUCAAAGCACGCUGCGCCUUGGUCCGUCUCUCCACACAACCGUGACAAUACCAAUAUGACUUUAACACUUUGACAUGGCCUCAGCUAUUGAUGUUGAUGUUUACCACAGUGUAGCUUAGCACGCUAUCUCUAAAGGAUAUCCCAACUAGCCCGCUAUCUCUAAAGGAUAUCCCAACUAGCCCACUAUCUCUAAAGCCCAACUAGCCCGCUAUCUCUAAGGGAUAUCCCAACUAGCCCGCUAUCUCUAAAGAAUAUCCCGACUAGCCCGCUAUCUCUAAAGGAUAUCCCGACUAGCUCGCUAUCUCUAAAGGAUAUCCCGACUAGCCUGCUAUCUCUAAAGGAUAUCCCAAACAGAGAGAAUGCACGUUGGUCCCUGUCGCAGGCAGUGAGCAGGGCCUUGUCAGUUAUUUUAGACGUAUCCCCCAACCAGAGCCAAGUUUACCGAGGUGUUGCAGUCUAUUUUGAGCUGCAAUGCAACACGGUCCAAACAGCUGCUGUCCCUGACCGCCUCCUGACCGCCUCCUGAUUCAAGUUUGAAUUUCCCCUUGUCAGCAUGAUGGAAUGGAUGGCACCCAACGGAAGACCAAGCACCCAGCGACUCCCUGCUGAACUGAAUCGCUUAUAUAAAUGGGAAUCUUUCUUAUUCUCUCUGAUAAAUCGCUCUUACAGUAUAAGUUGAUUCCAGGGGGAUCACUAUGGGAAGUAUGGGUCUUAAGAAAAAUCGUUUUCAUUUGAUUCACUGUAGGUGAAUCACCGGCCCUCUAUUAUCUCUCAACGUUACUAACUAUUUAAUUGGACAUAUAAGUAGAUGAAUAGCAGGCUGUAAAAUAAAACAAACUUUUUUUGUUAAGAAAGAGCUGUCUUAUGAAUGACUGUCAAUAAAGUUUAAUUUAGUUGUAUUCACAUUCACAGGUAAAAGCUGAAUUGCAGUGACUGUUGGAUGAAUCGUUUUGGAAAUAAUUGACUCCUUGAUAGCUGAUUAUUGAUAUCAGGGCUCUUCCAGGCACCUGGCAUUGCAGCUGGUGUAGCAAAGGUCAUAGGCACACACACACAAGCCCACGCAUACUCACACAAACACAAUCUCUCUCUAUCACUCUCUUUCUAUUUCUGUAUCACACACAUCCUUACACAGGGCAGCUCUGUUGGAUGACACUCGUCCCUGGGUCCUGUCCAAAGGUGUGACCGGGCCAAGCUGGAGAGGGCUGGGACACGAGCCUAAUUGAGCUUGGCCCAAUCACAACACACCACACUCACACUGAGAGGCUGCCCAAAAUAAACACACACACACACACACACGUUGAGCUCUAUUCAAUCCACGUCGCGGAAGUUCAGCUUUACAGCGUGAUUGAAAUUUAAAGGCAAUGUUCCCGCUUUAGUGGAGACUGCAUUCACAAUAAACGCUGAAUAUGUCAACUCAGUUGGAAAUUACCUUUAAGUUUCUAUUGCGGAAUCUGUACAGAUUGAAUAGGGCCCUUUAACUCUCUAUAAUUGAAUCGAGUAGUUUAUAAUAUAUUAUAUUUCUCCAAGGAGGCAAUUUCCUGGUCACAUUGUUUGGACAAACUCCCCAAUGUGUCCUGUCUAAGAAUUACUAAUCUAAUCUGGGUCCUGUCUAUGAAUUACUAAUCUAAUCUGUGUCCUGUCUAUGAAUGACUAAUCUCGGCACCCAGAACCAAAUCAACUAUUCCAAUUUGAAAAUGUCAAUGUUAAUGCUGUGUCAUGACUCUCCUGUGAAGAUCUGAAGGAUCAGGUUACAGUGGGUCCGCUCUACAGCAUGCUCUCUCUCGUAGAGGGGGAGAGCGGGAAGUCGGCUGUUUUAUGAUGGUCGUAAAUACCGAAACUCCUUUCCCCACUCUGCCAAAAGGAAAGUUGAGAAUCCCUUUGUUACCACAGAGAAAGACUUUGCAGUACGGUAACCUCAAAAGGUUUUCUAAUGUAACAAUAUUUAUGUAUUCCAACCAGUUGGAAUGGUCCGUGGGUAUUUAAACAAUAAUCAUGUCCAACAUUUACUGUGUGGUGAUUGAAGAUGUUAUAACAGAAACAUUGUAACUUUAAGAGCUUUCACAAUGUAUUUCUCAUAUUUACAUCUACAUGUUGUGAAACUACUUCUCACAAAUAUGAAGAUGAA
RNAcentral lists this long non-coding RNA (3103 nucleotides) under Salmo trutta (river trout). Its description in RNAcentral is "lncRNA (ENSSTUG00000037978.1)". Lineage: Eukaryota; Metazoa; Chordata; Actinopteri; Salmoniformes; Salmonidae. The record is from RNAcentral.